Molecule: non-coding RNA, 31 nt
Filed under: Mus musculus (house mouse)
Lineage: Eukaryota; Metazoa; Chordata; Mammalia; Rodentia; Muridae
Source: RNAcentral
UGAUGCCGUGGUGCAUAUAUAUGCGGUGGUU